This is a non-coding RNA of Vicia faba (fava bean), 195 nucleotides long. The record is from the annotation of a GenBank genome assembly. Lineage: Eukaryota; Viridiplantae; Streptophyta; Magnoliopsida; Fabales; Fabaceae.
AUGCCGUUAUUUCACAUCACCCCUUCUAUUUUGGACCUUUUUUAUUUUGACUAUUUGAUUGUAGAUCUUCAGUUGGAUGUCAAAGGUUUUACCGAUGUGUAUGCUUCAUUCGAUACGUAUGUUGAAGUGGAAAAACUUGAUGGUUUACAGGUAAAAUCUAUAACCAUGCAUUCUCUUAUGUUACUCUCUACCUGA